RNAcentral lists this ribosomal RNA (459 nucleotides) under uncultured bacterium. RNAcentral's name for it is "partial 16S ribosomal RNA". It matches the Rfam family "Bacterial small subunit ribosomal RNA", at positions 338 to 795 of the family's 1533-position model. The record is from RNAcentral.
CCUACGGGUGGCUGCAGUAAGGAAUAUUGGUCAAUGGGCGCGAGCCUGAACCAGCCAAGUCGCGUGAGGGAAGACGGUCCUAUGGAUUGUAAACCUCUUUUGUCGGGGAGCAAAAGACGCCACGCGUGGCGUUCCGAGAGUACCCGAAGAAAAAGCAUCGGCUAACUCCGUGCCAGCAGCCGCGGUAAUACGGAGGAUGCGAGCGUUAUCCGGAUUUAUUGGGUUUAAAGGGUGCGCAGGCAGAAGAGCAAGUCAGCGGUAAAAUUGAGAGGCUCAACCUCUUCGAGCCGUUGAAACUGGUGUUCUUGAGUGAGCGAGAAGUAUGCGGAAUGCGUGGUGUAGCGGUGAAAUGCAUAGAUAUCACGCAGAACUCCGAUUGCGAAGGCAGCAUACCGGCGCUCAACUGACGCUCAUGCACGAAAGUGUGGGUAUCGAACAGGAUUAGAUACCCCAGUAGUC